This 187-nucleotide non-coding RNA is filed under the name Deltaproteobacteria bacterium. RNAcentral's name for it is "6S RNA". It matches the Rfam family "6S / SsrS RNA". From Rfam's summary of the family: E. coli 6S RNA was the first non coding RNA to be sequenced, but its function was unknown until recently. It consists of 184 nucleotides that fold into an extended hairpin structure with a large single-stranded internal bulge. The 6S RNA specifically associates with RNA polymerase holoenzyme containing the sigma70 specificity factor. The record is from RNAcentral. Lineage: Bacteria; Pseudomonadati; Myxococcota; Myxococcia.
AUGCCCCUGGGGUGCUCGCGGACCUUAUAGUCCCUUUUGAGUCAACACAUGAAGAAAUAGAUCCUGUUUAGGGCUGUUGUGAGCAUGUUCUCCUCAGAGAGAAAAGCCUUAAAUGCAGCUCUGUCAGGUUCGGCUUGAUUUAUAUCAGGCUCAAGGAAUACGAAGGAACGGCAUCAUCGGGGGCAAU